Molecule: ribosomal RNA, 879 nt
Filed under: Pleiochaeta setosa
Lineage: Eukaryota; Fungi; Ascomycota; Dothideomycetes; Pleosporales
Description: eukaryotic LSU rRNA
Rfam family: Eukaryotic large subunit ribosomal RNA
Source: RNAcentral
AUAUCAAUAAGCGGAGGAAAAGAAACCAACAGGGAUUGCCCUAGUAACGGCGAGUGAAGCGGCAACAGCUCAAAUUUGAAAUCUGGCCUCUUUUGGGGUCCGAGUUGUAAUUUGCAGAGGGCGCUUUGGAGUCGGCAGCGGUCCAAGUUCCUUGGAACAGGACGUCACAGAGGGUGAGAAUCCCGUACGUGGUCGCUAGCCUUCGCCGUGUAAAGCCCCUUCGACGAGUCGAGUUGUUUGGGAAUGCAGCUCUAAAUGGGAGGUAAAUUUCUUCUAAAGCUAAAUACUGGCCAGAGACCGAUAGCGCACAAGUAGAGUGAUCGAAAGAUGAAAAGCACUUUGGAAAGAGAGUCAAAAAGCACGUGAAAUUGUUGAAAGGGAAGCGCUUGCAGCCAGACUUGCCUGUAGUUGCUCAUCCGGGCUUUUGCCCGGUGCACUCUUCUAUAGGCAGGCCAGCAUCAGUUUGGGCGGUUGGAUAAAGGUCUCUGUCAUGUACCUCUCUUCGGGGAGGACUUAUAGGGGAGGCGACAUGCAACCAGCUCAGACUGAGGUCCGCGCAUUUGCUAGGAUGCUGGCGUAAUGGCUGUAAGCGGCCCGUCUUGAAACACGGACCAAGGAGUCUAACAUCUAUGCGAGUGUUUGGGUGUCAAGCCCGAGCGCGCAAUGAAAGUGAACGGAGGUGGGAACCCCUCGGGGCGCACCAUCGACCGAUCCUGAUGUCUUCGGAUGGAUUUGAGUAAGAGCAUAGCUGUUGGGACCCGAAAGAUGGUGAACUAUGCUUGAAUAGGGUGAAGCCAGAGGAAACUCUGGUGGAGGCUCGCAGCGGUUCUGACGUGCAAAUCGAUCGUCAAAUUUGGGCAUAGGGCGAAAGACUAAUCG